AGCAGCCGCGGUAAUUCCAGCUCCAAUAGCGUAUAUUAAAGUUGUUGCAGUUAAAAAGCUCGUAGUUGAAUUUCGGGAUCAAUACGUCGGUCGUGCUUCGGUACGUACUGGCGUCAUUGGUUUCUCCCUUCUGACGAACCAUGAUGUCAUUAACUUGGUGUCAUGGGAAAUCAGGACUGUUACUUUGAAAAAAUUAGAGUGUUUAAAGCAGGCUCACGCUUGAAUACAUUAGCAUGGAAUAAUGAAAUAGGACGUUCGAUCCUAUUUUGUUGGUUUCUAGGAUCAACGUAAUGAUUAAUAGGGAUAGUUGGGGGCAUUAGUAUUCAAUUGUCAGAGGUGAAAUUCUUGGAUUUAUUGAAGACUAACUACUGCGAAAGCAUUUGCCAAGGAUGUUUUCAUUAAUCAAGUAACGAAAGUUAGGGGAUCGAAGACGAUCAGAUACCGUCGUAGUCUUAACCAUAAACUAUGCCGACUAGGGAUCGGAUGAUGUAAUUUUUAAUGACUCAUUCGGCGCCUUAAC
Molecule: ribosomal RNA, 520 nt
Filed under: uncultured Glomus
Lineage: Eukaryota; Fungi; Glomeromycota; Glomeromycetes; Glomerales; Glomeraceae
Description: SSU rRNA
Rfam family: Eukaryotic small subunit ribosomal RNA
Source: RNAcentral